UCUAGAAGCUUCGGCAAUGGGCGAAAGCCUGACCGAGCGACGCCGCGUGCAGGACGAAGGCCUUCGGGUUGUAAACUGCUUUCGACUGGGAUGAAUGGUAAGGAGGCUAAUACCCUUUUUAUUUGACAGUACCUGGAGAAGAAGCCCCGGCUAACUCCGUGCCAGCAGCCGCGGUACUACGGAGGGGGCCAGCGUUGUUCGGAUUUAUUGGGCGUAAAGCGCGUGUAGGCGGUGCAGUAAGUCGGAUGUUAAAGACCCGCGGCUCACCCGGGGGAAUGCGUCCGAUACUGCUGUGCUAGAGUGCAGGAGAGGAGAGUGGAAUUCCUGGUGUAGCGGUGAAAUGCGUAGAUAUCAGGAGGAACACCGGUGGCGAAGGCGGCUCUCUGGCCUGUAACUGACGCUGAGACGCGAAAGCGUGGGGAGUGAACG
This 429-nucleotide ribosomal RNA is filed under the name uncultured prokaryote. RNAcentral describes it as "bacterial SSU rRNA". It matches the Rfam family "Bacterial small subunit ribosomal RNA", at positions 355 to 774 of the family's 1533-position model. The record is from RNAcentral.